AGCGAACGCUGGCGGCGUGCCUAACACAUGCAAGUCGAACGUGAAAUGGGGCAACCCAAAGUAAAGUGGCGUACGGGUGAGUAACACGUAGGUAAUCUACCUUAGAGUCUGGAAUAACCGGCCGAAAGGCUGGCUAAUACUGGAUAGAGCGACGGAACUCGUAAUUGGGUUUUUCGGGAAAGGGAGCUCGCAAGAGCCUUCGCUUUAAGAUGAGCCUGCGUCUCAUUAGCUAGUUGGUAAGGUAAUGGCUUACCAAGGCAGUGAUGAGUAGCUGGUCUGAGAGGAUGAUCAGCCACACUGGAACUGAAACACGGUCCAGACUCCUACGGGAGGCAGCAGUGGGGAAUCUUGCGCAAUGGACGAAAGUCUGACGCAGCCACGCCGCGUGAGUGAAG
This 395-nucleotide ribosomal RNA is filed under the name uncultured bacterium. Its description in RNAcentral is "bacterial SSU rRNA". It matches the Rfam family "Bacterial small subunit ribosomal RNA", at positions 29 to 410 of the family's 1533-position model. The record is from RNAcentral.